This 253-nucleotide ribosomal RNA is filed under the name uncultured bacterium. Its description in RNAcentral is "partial 16S ribosomal RNA". It matches the Rfam family "Bacterial small subunit ribosomal RNA", at positions 524 to 776 of the family's 1533-position model. The record is from RNAcentral.
UACAGAGGGCGCGAGCGUUAAUCGGAUUCACUGGGCGUAAAGGGCGCGUAGGCGGUUAUAUGAGUGUGAUGUGAAAGCCCUGGGCUCAACCUAGGAAGUGCAUCGCAAACGAUAUGACUGGAGUAUUGGAGAGGGUAGCGGAAUUUCCGGUGUAGCGGUGAAAUGCGUAGAGAUCGGAAGGAACGUCAAUGGCGAAGGCAGCUACCUGGCCAAAUACUGACGCUGAGGCGCGAAAGCGUGGGGAGCAAACAGG